UGGCCUACGGGUGGCAGCAGUGGGGAAUAUUGGACAAUGGGCGCAAGCCUGAUCCAGCCAUGCCGCGUGAGUGAUGACGGCCUUAGGGUUGUAAAGCUCUUUCACCCACGACGAUAAUGACGGUAGUGGGAGAAGAAGCCCCGGCUAACUUCGUGCCAGCAGCCGCGGUAAUACGAAGGGGGCUAGCGUUGUUCGGAAUUACUGGGCGUAAAGCGUACGUAGGCGGACCGUUAAGUCAGAGGUGAAAUCCCGGAGCUCAACUUCGGAAUUGCCUUUGAUACUGGCGGUCUUGAGUUCGGGAGAGGUGAGUGGAACUGCUAGUGUAGAGGUGAAAUUCGUAGAUAUUAGCAAGAACACCAGUGGCGAAGGCGGCUCACUGGCCCGAUACUGACGCUGAGGUACGAAAGCGUGGGGAGCAAACAGGAUUAGAUACCCUAGUAGUCCU
RNAcentral lists this ribosomal RNA (445 nucleotides) under uncultured Hyphomicrobiales bacterium. Its description in RNAcentral is "bacterial SSU rRNA". It matches the Rfam family "Bacterial small subunit ribosomal RNA", at positions 335 to 797 of the family's 1533-position model. Lineage: Bacteria; Pseudomonadati; Pseudomonadota; Alphaproteobacteria; Hyphomicrobiales. The record is from RNAcentral.